Molecule: ribosomal RNA, 301 nt
Filed under: uncultured bacterium
Lineage: Bacteria
Description: partial 16S ribosomal RNA
Rfam family: Bacterial small subunit ribosomal RNA
Source: RNAcentral
CAGCCGCCGCGGUAAUACGUAGGUCCCGAGCGUUGUCCGGAUUUAUUAGGCGUAAAGCGAGCGCAGGCGGUUAGAUAAGUCUGAAGUUAAAGGCUGUGGCUUAACCAUAGUACGCUUUGGAAACUGUUUAACUUGAGUGCAAGAGGGGAGAGUGGAAUUCCAUGUGUAGCGGUGAAAUGCGUAGAUAUAUGGAGGAACACCGGUGGCGAAAGCGGCUCUCUGGCUUGUAACUGACGCUGAGGCUCGAAAGCGUGGGGAGCAAACAGGAUUAGAUACCCGGGUAGUCCCUGUCUCUUAUACC